GGGGACGUAGCUCAUAUGGUAGAGCGCCUGUUUCGCAUACAGGAGGUACGGGGUUCGAUUCCCCGCGUCUCCA
Molecule: non-coding RNA, 73 nt
Organism: Vigna unguiculata (cowpea)
Lineage: Eukaryota; Viridiplantae; Streptophyta; Magnoliopsida; Fabales; Fabaceae
Source: the annotation of a RefSeq genome assembly